UACAGAGGGUGCGAGCGUUAAUCGGAAUUACUGGGCGUAAAGCGUGCGUAGACGGUAAUGUAAGUCAGAGGUGAAAUCCUGGAGCUCAACUCCAGAACUGCCUUUGAUACUGGAGAGCUUGAGUCCGGGAGAGGUGAGUGGAACUGCGAGUGUAGAGGUGAAAUUCGUAGAUAUUCGCAAGAACACCAGUGGCGAAGGCGGCUCACUGGCCCGGUACUGACGCUGAGGUGCGAAAGCGUGGGGAGCAAACAGG
RNAcentral lists this ribosomal RNA (253 nucleotides) under uncultured bacterium. Its description in RNAcentral is "partial 16S ribosomal RNA". It matches the Rfam family "Bacterial small subunit ribosomal RNA", at positions 524 to 776 of the family's 1533-position model. The record is from RNAcentral.